RNAcentral lists this unclassified non-coding RNA (315 nucleotides) under uncultured fungus. RNAcentral describes it as "sequence contains ITS1". The stretch from base 1 to 105 matches the Rfam family "5.8S ribosomal RNA", at positions 50 to 154 of the family's 154-position model. Lineage: Eukaryota; Fungi. The record is from RNAcentral.
GAAAUGCGAUAAGUAAUGUGAAUUGCAGAAUUCAGCGAAUCAUCGAAUCUUUGAACGCACAUUGCGCCCAAUAGUAUUCUACUGGGCAUGCCUGUUCGAGCGUCAUUUCAACCCUCAGGCCCUUCUAGGUCUGGUGAUGGGGCAUUCUACAGCCUAGCUGUAGGCCCUGAAAUUCAGUGGCGGGCUUGUUAAGACCCCGAGCGUAGUAAAUUUACACGUUCGCUUGGGGCGUCUAGCGAGUAACACUUGCCAUUAAACACCCCCUAUAAUCUAAUGGUUGACCUCGGAUCAGGUAGGAAUACCCGCUGAACUUAA